GAUGAACGCUGGCGGCGUGCUUAACACAUGCAAGUCGAACGAAGAUGCCGGAGUGCUUGCACUUUGGCAGACUGAGUGGCGGACGGGUGAGUAACGCGUGGGUAACCUGCCUUAUACAGGGGGAUAACAGUUGGAAACGACUGCUAAUACCGCAUAAGCGCACGGUAUCGCAUGAUACAGUGUGAAAAACUCCGGUGGUAUAAGAUGGACCCGCGUCUGAUUAGCUUGUUGGUGAGGUAACGGCCCACCAAGGCGACGAUCAGUAGCCGGCCUGAGAGGGUGAACGGCCACAUUGGGACUGAGACACGGCCCAAACUCCUACGGGAGGCAGCAGUGGGGAAUAUUGCACAAUGGGGGAAACCCUGAUGCAGCGACGCCGCGUGAGUGAUGAAGUAUUUCGGUAUGUAAAACUCUAUCAGCAGGGAAGAUAAUGACGGUACCUGACUAAGAAGCACCGGCUAAAUACGUG
RNAcentral lists this ribosomal RNA (469 nucleotides) under uncultured bacterium. Its description in RNAcentral is "bacterial SSU rRNA". It matches the Rfam family "Bacterial small subunit ribosomal RNA", at positions 28 to 507 of the family's 1533-position model. The record is from RNAcentral. RNAcentral also lists the same sequence under 1 other name.